GUCCACGCUGUAAACGAUGAAUGCUAGAUAUGGUGGGUCUUGACCCCUGCCGUGUCGAAGUUAACACGAUAAGCAUUCCGCCUGGGGAGUACGGUCGCAAGAUUAAAACUCAAAGGAAUUGACGGGGGCCCGCACAAGCGGUGGAUCAUGUGGUUUAAUUCGAAGCAACGCGAAGAACCUUACCUGGAUUUGACAUCCCUUUGAAUGUAACUAGAGAUAGAUAUAGACUCGCAAGAGACAAAGGUGACAGGUGCUGCAUGGCUGUCGU
Molecule: ribosomal RNA, 268 nt
Filed under: uncultured bacterium
Lineage: Bacteria
Description: partial 16S ribosomal RNA
Rfam family: Bacterial small subunit ribosomal RNA
Source: RNAcentral